GAUGAAUGCUGGCGGCGUGCCUAACACAUGCAAGUCGAGCGGCAGCGCGGUCUUCGGACUGGCGGCGAGCGGCGGACGGCUGAGUAACGCGUGGGAACAUACCCCAAAGUGAGGAAUAACUGCCCGAAAGGGUGGCUAAUGCCGCAUAUGGUCUCCGGAUUAAAGGAUUUAUCCGCUUUAGGAAUGGCCUGCGUAAGAUUAGAUAGUUGGUGAGGUAAUGGCUCACCAAGUCGACGAUCUUUAACUGGUCUUAGAGGAUGAUCAGUCAGACUGGAACUGAGACACGGUCCAGACUCCUACGGGAGGCAGCAGUGAGGAAUCUUCCACAAUGGGCGAAAGCCUGAUGGAGCAACGCCGCGUGCAGGAUGAAGGCCUUCGGGUCGUAAACUGCUUUUAUAAGUGAAGAAUAUGACGGUAACUUAUGAAUAAGCACCGGCUAACUACGUGCCAGCCGCCGCAGUA
This 462-nucleotide ribosomal RNA is filed under the name uncultured bacterium. RNAcentral describes it as "partial 16S ribosomal RNA". It matches the Rfam family "Bacterial small subunit ribosomal RNA", at positions 28 to 522 of the family's 1533-position model. The record is from RNAcentral.